UAGAAAAGUGAAGAAAGGAUGAAUCAGUUAAAGGAAGAAACACUCUACAGUGAUCACUGUUGAGAGAAGAGAGCAGAGAGCAAGACAAGAAAAGUGUAAAGUUUGUCCGGUGGAGGGAGAGACUGACUGUCUCAAUCAUCAACAAUCAGGAUGUUUGUUCUCAUCUGGGCGACUCUGCUAUUCUCUGUGAGAGGCAACAAUGCUGUCACAGGUGCAGCAGUGAAGGAACACUGUGACAUAGGAUACUGUAUCACUCUCAGUGAAGGAGAAAUAACAGCAGAGGCUGGACUCUGUGUUGUGAUACCGUGUUCUUUCACCAUUGCUUAUGUCUUUACACCCCAACAUAUGGUGUGGUACAAAUGUGAUGCAUCUAAAAGAAGAUGUGCUGAUUCAGACGUGAUACUCCACACUAACAACAACAACAAAGUUCAGUCUGGGUUUACAGGACGAGUUUCACUGUUGGAGCCUGACGUGAGUCUGAGGAACUGCAGCAUCAUCAUCAAUGACCUCACUAAGUCAGACUCUGGAUCAUAUCAACUCAGAGUUAAUGGUUUCGUGUAUGAUUAUGAGACUGGAUUUACAUUCUCUCCAAGAGCAACUGUCUCUGUCAAAGGUCUGACCCAGAAGCCCACAGUGAUGAUUCCUCCUCUGACAGAGGGACAGCAGACCACACUGACCUGCACUGCUCCUGGUCUCUGCUCUGGAUCUGAUCCUAAAAUCACCUGGACGUGGAGAGGAGCAGGAGAGAAGGACUCUCACAUCACAGGAAACAUCACUGCUGUCACACAGAGACACAGCUCAACUUUGACCUUUAACCCUUCAGCUGAACAGCACGGCACCGAUGUCACCUGUAAGGUCAGCUUCACAAACAGCAUCACUACAGAGGAGACAGUGACUCUGAAUGUGACCUAUGUGAAGGAAUUUAGAAUCACUGGGAAUACAAGUGUGAAGGAGGGUGAGACUCUGCAUCUGACCUGCAGUGUUGAAAGUUUCCCUCCAUCUCUCAUCACGUGGACAAAACCUUCUGAGACAAACAUGCAAAAUGCAACAGAAACAAAUUGGCAGAACAACACUGAGACCUUCAUGCAGAGAGAACGUGGAAUCGGCACUUUUUCCAUCUCUAAUGUGACGACAGAAGAUUCUGGACGAUACAUCUGCAGAGCAGAAUAUCUGAAUCAAACCCUAGUGGAAAAUGUUGAUGUAAAAGUCACAUAUGUGAGGAAACCUUUAGUCACCGGUGAUACAACAGUGGAGGAGGGAGAUGCUCUGAAUUUAACCUGUAGUGUUGAAAGUUUUCCUCCGUCUCAUAUCACAUGGACUGUACUUGGCUCCAACACAAAGCUGGGCAACGGACUUGACACCGACCUGCAGAACCACACUGGAUCAGCCACACUUGUCAUCCCAAAUGUGACGACAGAAGAUUCUGGACAGUACAUCUGUACAGCACAACACCUGGACAGGACUGUGACUACAUAUGCGGAUGUAACAGUGACUUGGUUUUCAAAGGUCUUAAACAACUCUGGGUGUGAGGUUCAGUCGGAGGUCCUGACCUGUGUGUGCAUCAGUGAGGGGUUUCCUUUACCCACCAUCAACUGGCCGCUGUUGAAGAACCAUACUGAGUACGCCAUCAUUACUACUGUGUCAAACCACACAGUCAGCAGCACCGUCACCCUGACUGUAAAAGACCACAGCAACACUUCUGUUGAGUGUGUCAGCAGCAAUGAAAAUGGGGAAGCAAAAGAAAACCUCAAAAUCCGAAUGACCAUAUUAGAAAAAGAAAAAGCGGAUCAGUCCAAAGAACUGGUUUCAUGGCUGGAAGUCAUCAUUGCCUUUUUGAUUGGGGUUCUUCUUUCAGCAGUCCUCUGCUGUUUGGCCACGAAAUGUCACAGAAAAAAUCAGAAGAUCUCUCGAAAUCUGGAUGAGAGUCUGGAGAUGGUGACCAGUCAAGAGGCUCCACUGAUCGAUGCUGGUCAAGCAGUCGAUGAUGAUCAGACCUUCUACCAAGAGUUGGCUGAAGGAGAAGAAGGAGCUGCGGCAGCAGAGCAAGCAGCCCCUGAUCUCAAUGGUGGACCUAAAGAUGUGGAGUACGCCAGCAUUGAUUUCUCCGUCUUGAGAAGAAAGAAUACCAGGGAUGCAGCAAAGAAGCAAGAAACCACAGAGACCGAGUAUGCUGAAAUUAAGAAAGAAGUAAAAGAGGAAAUGGAAAACAAUGGCGAAGAGGAAGGUUAUGUGUUGGAGGGGGAGAUGGUCACGGAGGAUGAAGAGACGACACCUUGUGUUCCUGAAGAGGACGACGGGGAGGACGUUGCAGUGUACUCUGACGGGGAGGACGCUGCAGUGUACUCCAACGUGAAGGAUAUAAUGUCUGAGAUUUGAGGACUGUUGCAUGGUGGAGUUGCUUGAGGAUAAAGUUUCUUUGCUCUCAUCAGUUGUGAUGGAUUGAUGUAAUGGACUGAUGAUGGAUUGUUAUUCCAGUGAAUGAAUGGCGGUCCUGUGAACGGUUUCUAACAGCUGCGGUCUUCAAACGCCACAUUCAGCCUGUGGCGAAGUGACGGAGACGCUUCACACCUCUACACGUUAGGGGCUUUGUAAAUCCAUUCAUUCAACUGAGGGUAAACUGGAAGUUGGACAGUUUCCUUAUUCAAGUGUUAUUGAGCUUAAAUGUGUUGACUUUUCAUAAACGUCCCAAAUAAGAGUACCCACAUCCAUGAAGAAGUGGACUCCGCUAUUCCUCCACUGGCGUAUAAAGGGACAACCACCUCCGUCCUGCUGCUUCUGAGAGCUGAAGUGUGCUUUUGUGAGAUACAUAUUGUUUAACUAGGAUAAACAUGUGCCUUAAGUCAGAGAUGUCUCUAUUUCAGCGUGGCUCUAGGGAUGACAACAUCAGUCUGUUGAUUGGUUUGUCUGACCGCUGUGGGCCAGACUGAAAUAUCUCAACAACUGUUGGAUGGAUUCCCAUUAAGUGUUAUUCAUGUUCCCCAGGGGAUGCAUCCCAAUGACUUUGUUCAUCCUGUGACUUUUCCUUGGCUCCACCAUGAGUUUGGCAUGUGGUUUUGAAUGAACUGUUUAAACAACUAUUGGAUGGAUUGCCAUGGAAUCGGGUAGAGACACACUGUCCACUUCAGGAUAACAUUUUGUUAACAUUGGUUAUCCCUAAACUUUUAAACAUAUGACCAAAUACCUGCAAAACUAAUGACUGUAUGUUUUGUUUAAUGCCAAUUAGCAAAUGAUAGCAUGCUAGCAUUGUAUUGUAAGUAAGUUAGCAUUUAGCUUAAAGCACCACUGCACUUGACGGAGCGGCUACGUCUGUAGUGUCUUAAUCUUGUUUCAUUUUCAUUUAAAGUGUCUGCAGCAAAGGAACUCAAAGGAUAGGUUGAAAUGUUGACAAGUCUGUCUCAAUACAAUACUGGAAUAUAUAUUGAAAGAGUUAAAUCCCUUCCUAAAGUAAUUCCAGUGUAAAAGACAGGGAACCUUUUUUUGCCGGUUUGCAGUGGAGGGUAGUAACGCAGAGCACAUUUCAUACUUAAAAGAGCUUUUGUAGAUGUGGAGCUGUCUAACUCAGACUGCUGAAGCGUCAUUUUAGCUUCAGCUGAAUUUAAUGAUGCAUGUUGUCACAGAAUGAGGACUGUAGAUUUUGUCUCAAUCUAUUACGGUGGAAUUGAAUUAUGAUGGGAAGUCUUCAGGGCCCGUGUGAACAUGAACAACAAUUGGAGAAAUGUUGAUGUACAUAUGCAUGAUAGUAUUGUUUGUAAAAAAAAAAAAAGUUACACUCCUUUAAACUGGUGUGGAUACAUGCAUUCAUUUUUAUAUAAAAUAUGAAAAAUUGUUAAACAACAAAUUGCAGAUCAGUAUGCUGUUUUUAAUUUUAUUUAGCUUUUUGGAUUGAUUUGUUUUUUCAAACUGAUAAAAUGUUUGACCCAGUUUGUCUCUACUUUAGACAAAUUAGGAAGUCGUAGAUUACUUCUCUUUUUAUUGUGUUACAGGAAUCAACUUGGCUUCUUUUAAACAGAAAACACACUUGUUUAUGUUUGAGAUGAAAUCAUGAGUUAUCAAUUGCAACAAAACCUUUUUUUCUUUCUGGUACAUUCUGCAAUGUUGACAGGUUCUGUGGUGAGUGUUCAAUAUGCAGACAUAUAGAAACAGAUGAGGACAGAUAUGAAGCCAGUUAGCAGUUAAAUAUAGUUAUAGUCAUAAUCUACCAUCUCAGAGUGUCAACAGGAAGUUAUUAGAGAGAAUACAGUGAUGCCAUGUAAAGCAAUGUUUCAAUGAAUAAUCCCUUCAGAGACUUUUCUGAGAACACAACUGAGAAUGUUGCACAAUAAACCAUAAGAACCAUACUGUUACAAAUAUGGAACUUCAUGCAGUUAAGAGCUAGGAUUAAAACAAAUAUCUUAUUUUUUUAUCUGCCGGUAUUUCACGCACUUCAUUAAAGACGGCAGUUAUAGUACAGACCAUUCACAUGCAUGCACAUUCACCACCCUAUAUGCACAUGUAUGUAUUGUAUUGUGCAUUACAAUGUAGAAGGAUAGUUGAUAGAUGAGCUAUUUGGUUUCUUAAGGUGACACAAGCUUCUCAAGUACACAUAUGGUACUUCCUCUUUCUCAGAGUUCAUCACACAUAUACAGUCCUGAAGAAAAGAAAAUAGCAAGACCGAUUCAUUUCAUUAUUCAGUGUUAAAGUUGUACAUUAUCAACUUGAUAUACAUUAUUUAUUUAUAUUAACGUAGGCACACAUUUUAGAGAUUUGUGAGUGUGGCAGUCUAACGAGGGCCAGCAGUGUGAAGAGAAACUUCCUUUAAAAUUGUUGUAGCGCAAAGAGGAACGAAUUAAAAAAGGAAGACGAAGAGAGGAAGAGUCAGUUCAGAGCAGAGACGCUCAGCAGAGAUCACUGUGGUGAGAAGAGAACAAAAAAGAGGAAAAGACACUGACUGUCUCAAUCAUCACAUCAGGAUGUUUGUUCUCAUCUGGACGACUCUGCUCUUCUCUGUGAGAGGCAUCACUGCUGACGCAGGUGUAGCAGUGAAGGAACACUGUGACAGAGGAUACUGUAUCACUCUCAGUGAAGGAGAAAUAACAGCAGAGGCUGGACUCUGUGUUGUGAUACCGUGUUCUUUCACCAUUGCUUAUGGCUUUAAACCCCAACAUAUGGUGUGGUACAAAUGUGAUGCAUCUAAAAGAAGAUGUGGGGAUUCAGACGUGAUACUCCACACUAACAACAACAACAAAGUUCAGUCUGGGUUUACAGGACGAGUUUCACUGUUGGAGCCUGACGUGAGUCUGAGGAACUGCAGCAUCAUCAUCAAUGACCUCACUAAGUCAGACUCUGGAUCAUAUCAACUCAGAGUUAAUGGUUUACUGAGUUAUGAUGAGAGUGGAUAUACAGUCUCUCCAAGAGCAACUGUCUCUGUCAAAGGUAUGAAGAGCUUCAACAAAUACAUACAGUGAAGAUGUUCAUUCUAU
RNA transcript from Anarrhichthys ocellatus (wolf-eel), 5459 nucleotides. It is a transcript of the gene named sialic acid-binding Ig-like lectin 5, with no coding region annotated. The record is from RefSeq and is a predicted model, not a curated record. The transcript has 12 exons. NCBI's taxonomy places the organism in Eukaryota, Metazoa, Chordata, Actinopteri, Perciformes, Anarhichadidae.